This 253-nucleotide ribosomal RNA is filed under the name uncultured bacterium. Its description in RNAcentral is "partial 16S ribosomal RNA". It matches the Rfam family "Bacterial small subunit ribosomal RNA", at positions 524 to 776 of the family's 1533-position model. The record is from RNAcentral.
UACGUAGGUGGCGAGCGUUGUCCGGAAUUACUGGGUGUAAAGGGCGUGUAGGCGGUAAUGUAAGUCAGAUGUGAAAUACCACAGCUUAACUGUGGGGCUGCAUCUGAAACUAUGUUACUUGAGUGCUGGAGAGGAAAGCGGAAUUCCUAGUGUAGCGGUGAAAUGCGUAGAUAUUAGGAGGAACACCAGUGGCGAAGGCGGCUUUCUGGACAGUAACUGACGCUGAGGCGCGAAAGCGUGGGGAGCAAACAGG